This is a non-coding RNA of Pangasianodon gigas (Mekong giant catfish), 88 nucleotides long. Lineage: Eukaryota; Metazoa; Chordata; Actinopteri; Siluriformes; Pangasiidae. The record is from the annotation of a GenBank genome assembly.
UGAACUAGCGCCCAAACUGCUGAACUAGCGCCCUGACCGCUGAACUAGCUCCCUGACUGCUGAACUAGCUCCCUGACUGCUGAACUAG